AACGAACGCUGGCGGCAUGCCUAACACAUGCAAGUCGAACGAGACCUUCGGGUCUAGUGGCGCACGGGUGCGUAACGCGUGGGAACCUUCCCUUAGGUUCGGAAUAACUCCCCGAAAGGGGUGCUAAUACCGGAUAAUGUCUUCUGACCAAAGAUUUAUCGCCUUUGGAUGGGCCCGCGUUGGAUUAGCUAGUUGGUAGGGUAAAAGCCUACCAAGGCGACGAUCCAUAGCUGGUCUGAGAGGAUGAUCAGCCACACUGGGACUGAGACACGGCCCAGAAUCCUACGGGAGGCAGGAGUGGGGAAUAUAGGAAAAUGGGCGAAAGGCUGAACCAGCAAUGCCGCGUGAGUGAUGAAGGCCUUAGGGUAGUAAAGCUCUUUUACACGGGAUGAUAAUGACAGUACCGGGAGAAUAAGCACCGGCUAACUCCGUG
Molecule: ribosomal RNA, 433 nt
Filed under: uncultured bacterium
Lineage: Bacteria
Description: partial 16S ribosomal RNA
Rfam family: Bacterial small subunit ribosomal RNA
Source: RNAcentral